AAAGAUCGACCUUUAGCGGCUCUAUGUUAGAAACGCAGCAAACUGUCAUUGUUGAGUAAAGGAAACUACGUCGUUUUACUCUCCUCUAAUUCUAUCCUAGCCAUAUACCUGAAACCCCAUUUUUUACCCUUAAAAUAUUUCCCCCAAUCUCUCAAAUUUUUGAAAAACCUUAAAUUUUCCCUAAACCAAAAUCGACACCCAUCGACUGCAGCGCCUCUGACCCAAGCAUCUGCAUAGCCAUUGAGUGUCCCCUCUGCUGCGUUGCCGUCCUCUGUCGCAACCAUACAGUCCCACUUGCAUUCAUAGGUAUAGAUAGAUAUCUACAUUGCAUGUUCGAUAUAAAUGGGCUGAAACACGAAUUUUUUUACUUCGAAGGUUAAUCGAUUGCAAAGCGAAGGUUAUUAUGGACGCGUGCGACUGCUUAUGUUCUUUUAGUUAACUCUUUCAUAAGCAUUGCAAGGAUAAUAACAUAAAUCUCACCAGGGAACUUCACCCUCUCGUAUUGGGCUAAUAUACCGCCAGGUAUUGCUUUGAACAGAAAAUAUAAUAAUCGAACUCAUAAUGUUCUUUUAGUUACUUAAUAUAUAUCAUUGUUCAUUUCCAUUUGUUUGUCACUUAUUUUCUCUAGCAUUGAAAUAAACGAUUUAUUGUAAUUAUUCUAACACAAAUAUGUAUGCAGUUUUGAUUACAAAAGUAAAUUGGAUAAUAAAACAAAUAUGACUUUAUUUCUGUAGUUA
This is a long non-coding RNA of Gossypium arboreum, 737 nucleotides long. RefSeq lists it as uncharacterized. Lineage: Eukaryota; Viridiplantae; Streptophyta; Magnoliopsida; Malvales; Malvaceae. The record is from RefSeq and is a predicted model, not a curated record. The transcript is spliced from 2 exons.